GAGACGCUGUCGCAGCGGCUGCAGGAGCCGGGCACGGAGCUGAGCGAGGAGAGGGUCGUGGCCGUCAUGGGGGGCGAGGUGAGCCCCACGGCGCCCCAUGGCUGCCCCAUAGCGCCCCAUAGCGCCCCACAUUGCNNNNNNNNNNGGGGGGCUAUAGAUGGGGGUGGCAGGGGUGGGGGCUGCCCCAUAGAUCGGGAGCACCCAGGGGUGGGGGGCCCUAUAGAUGUGGGGGGCCAGGGGUGGGGGGUGCCCCAUAGCAGUGGGUCUGCCCCACAAGUGGCCCCAUAGCAGUGUCCCCAUCCCCUAUCCAUCUGUGUCCCUGCCCCCCAUGCCUGGGUCUCUCCCUAUGGGUCUCUUGCUAUGGGUCUGCCCCCUAUCUAUGGGUCUGCCCCCCAUGUGUGGGUCUCUCCCUAUGGGUUUCUCCCUAUGGGUCUCCCCCUAUGGGUCUGCCCCCCACCUAUGGAUCUGCCCUCCAUGCCUGGGUCUCUCCCUAUGGGUCUCCCUUGUACCUGUGGGUCUCCUGCUAUGGGUCUGCCCCCCAUGUGUGGGUCUGCCCCCCAUGUGUGGGUCUGCCCCCCACCUAUGGGUCCGCCCGCAGCUGGCGGUGUCCCGCGGGGUGCGGGUGCUGCUGGACGCGGAGCAGAGCGAGCUGCGGGCGGCGCUGACGCUGCUGGGGCUGGCGCUGAUGGCGCGGCACAACCGGGGCACGGCCUGGGUCUGGCACACGCAGCAGGCCUACCUCAGGGUGUGUGGGGCAGGGACAUGUGGGGAGAUGUGGGGCAGGGACAUGUGGGGCUGGGAGAUGUGGGGCUGGGUGUGGGGCUGGGACAGGCAGCAAGCGUACCUCAGGGUUUGUGGGGCAGGGACAUGUGGGGAGAUGUGGGGCCGGGACAUGUGGGGCUGGGAGAUGUGGGGCUGGGUGUGGGGCUGGGACAUGGGGCAGGCCUACCUCAGGGUCUGUGGGGUCUGUGGGGAGAUGUGGGGCUGGGUGUUUAGCUGUGGGGCAGGCCUUUGGGUAUGGGUCAGGGUGUCAGUUAUGGGUCGGGACGCCCCGCUGUGGGGCAGGGCACCCCGCUAUGGGGCAGCCCGUCACCGUGGGUCUGUGGGGCAGGACGCGGUGCAGGACCUGCAGCGGGUGCUGAGCCGCGGGCGCCGCCUGGGGGUCGCAGUGGGGCUGAAGCUGGUGCGGGGGGCGUACCUGCAGCACGAGAGGGGCAGGGGGACCGCCAUGGACACCCCCCAGCACACCGACCGCAGGUGGGACCCCAAAAACACCCCAAAAAUCCUAAAAGGGAC
RNAcentral lists this long non-coding RNA (1296 nucleotides) under Anas zonorhyncha (Eastern spot-billed duck). Its description in RNAcentral is "lncRNA (ENSAZOG00000007990.1)". Lineage: Eukaryota; Metazoa; Chordata; Aves; Anseriformes; Anatidae. The record is from RNAcentral.